AGAGUUUGAUCAUGGCUCAGGAUGAACGCUGGCGGCGUGCCUAAUACAUGCAAGUCGAACGCGGGCACUUGUGCCCGAGUGGCGAACGGGUGAGUAAUACAUAAGUAACCUGGCCUUUACAGGGGGAUAACUGCUGGAAACGGCAGCUAAGACCGCAUAGGUAGGGACACUGCAUGGUGACCGUAUUAAAAGUGCUGCAAGGCACUGGUAGAGGAUGGACUUAUGGCGCAUUAGCUGGUUGGUGAGGUAACGGCUCACCAAGGCGACGAUGCGUAGCCGACCUGAGAGGGUGACCGGCCACACUGGGACUGAGACACGGCCCAGACUCCUACGGGAGGCAGCAGUAGGGAAUUUUCGGCAAUGGGGGGAACCCUGACCGAGCAACGCCGCGUGAAGGAAGAAGGAAUUCGUUCUGUAAACUUCUGUUAUAAAGGAAGAAAGACGGAUGGAGGAAAUGACAUCCGAGUGACGGUACUUUAUGAGAAAGCCACGGCUAACUACGUGCCAGCAGCCGCGGUAAUACGUAGGUGGCAAGCGUUAUCCGGAAUUAUUGGGCGUAAAGAGGGAGCAGGCGGCAGCAAAGGUCUGUGGUGAAAGACUGAAGCUUAACUUCAGUAAGCCAUAGAAACCGGGCAGCUAGAGUGCAGGAGAGGAUCGUGGAAUUCCAUGUGUAGCGGUGAAAUGCGUAGAUAUAUGGAGGAACACCAGUGGCGAAGGCGACGAUCUGGCCUGCAACUGACGCUCAGUCCCGAAAGCGUGGGGAGCAAAUAGGAUUAGAUACCCUAGUAGUCCACGCCGUAAACGAUGAGUACUAAGUGUUGGAAGUCAAAUUUCAGUGCUGCAGUUAACGCAGUAAGUACUCCGCCUGAGUAGUACGUUCGCAAGAAUGAAACUCAAAGGAAUUGACGGGGGCCCGCACAAGCGGUGGAGCAUGUGGUUUAAUUCGAAGCAACGCGAAGAACCUUACCAGGUCUUGACAUACUCAUAAAGGAUCCAGAGAUGGAUAGAUAGUUAUAUGAGAUACAGGUGGUGCAUGGUUGUCGUCAGCUCGUGUCGUGAGAUGUUGGGUUAAGUCCCGCAACGAGCGCAACCCUUGUCGUUAGUUACCAUCAUUAAGUUGGGGACUCUAGCGAGACUGCCAGUGACAAGCUGGAGGAAGGCGGGGAUGACGUCAAAUCAUCAUGCCCCUUAUGACCUGGGCUACACACGUGCUACAAUGGAUGGUGCAGAGGGAAGCGAAGCCGCGAGGCGAAGCAAAACCCAUAAAACCAUUCUCAGUUCGGAUUGUAGUCUGCAACUCGACUACAUGAAGUUGGAAUCGCUAGUAAUCGCGAAUCAGCAUGUCGCGGUGAAUACGUUCUCGGGCCUUGUACACACCGCCCGUCACACCAUGAGAGUUGAUAACACCCGAAGCCGGUGGCCUAACCGAAAGGAAGGAGCUGUCUAAGGUGGGAUUGAUGAUUGGGGUGAAGUCGUAACAAGGUAACCGUA
RNAcentral lists this ribosomal RNA (1491 nucleotides) under uncultured bacterium. RNAcentral describes it as "16S ribosomal RNA". It matches the Rfam family "Bacterial small subunit ribosomal RNA". The record is from RNAcentral.